AUGACACUUUGACAGCACAUAUACUAAAAUUGGAAUGAUACAGAAAAUUAACCUAGUCUUUGUACAAGGAUAACAUGAAAAUGUAUGAAGUACUCCAUAUUUUU
This 104-nucleotide small nuclear RNA is filed under the name Microcebus murinus (gray mouse lemur). Lineage: Eukaryota; Metazoa; Chordata; Mammalia; Primates; Cheirogaleidae. The record is from RNAcentral.